GUGCUCACUUUAGCAGCACAUAUACUAAAAUUAGAACAAUAUAUAGAAAAUUAACAUGGCUCCUUCACAAGGAGGAUACGCAAAUUCAUGAAGCAUUUCAUAAAAAA
This is a small nuclear RNA of Ochotona princeps (American pika), 107 nucleotides long. The record is from Ensembl. NCBI's taxonomy places the organism in Eukaryota, Metazoa, Chordata, Mammalia, Lagomorpha, Ochotonidae.